Molecule: small nuclear RNA, 115 nt
Organism: Mustela putorius furo (domestic ferret)
Lineage: Eukaryota; Metazoa; Chordata; Mammalia; Carnivora; Mustelidae
Source: Ensembl
GUGCUCGCUUCAGCAGCACAUAUACUAAAACCGGAACGAUACGGAGAUUUACGUGUCAUCCUUGCAUCCUCUGCACAAGGAUGACGUGUAAAAUACUUGGCUGAUCUAAAUGAAG